GGAGAGGUGGCCGAGUGGAUUAAGGCAGCUGUCCUGAAAACAGCCACUCGAAGGGGUCGUGGGUUCGAAUCCCACCCUCUCCGCCA
This 86-nucleotide transfer RNA is filed under the name subsurface metagenome. RNAcentral's name for it is "tRNA-Ser". It matches the Rfam family "tRNA". Rfam says of the family: Transfer RNA (tRNA) molecules are approximately 80 nucleotides in length. Their secondary structure includes four short double-helical elements and three loops (D, anti-codon, and T loops). Further hydrogen bonds mediate the characteristic L-shaped molecular structure. tRNAs have two regions of fundamental functional importance: the anti-codon, which is responsible for specific mRNA codon recognition, and the 3' end, to which the tRNAs corresponding amino acid is attached (by aminoacyl-tRNA synthetases). tRNAs cope with the degeneracy of the genetic code in two manners: having more than one tRNA (with a specific anti-codon) for a particular amino acid; and 'wobble' base-pairing, i.e. permitting non-standard base-pairing at the 3rd anti-codon position. The record is from RNAcentral.